UAAGGAGAGUGCGAGCGUUGUUCGGAAUUACUGGGCGUAAAGCGCGUGUAGGCGCCCGAUUAAGUAUGGUGUGAAAGCCCGGGGCUCACCCUCGGAAGUGCGCUGGAAACUGGUCGGCUAGAGUAUGGGAGAGGAAAGUUGAAUUCCCGGUGUAGCGGUGAAAUGUGUAGAUAUCGGGAGGAACACCAGCGGCGAAGGCGGCUUUCUGGACCAAUACUGACGCUGAGACGCGAAAGCGUGGGGAGCAAACAGG
This 253-nucleotide ribosomal RNA is filed under the name uncultured bacterium. Its description in RNAcentral is "partial 16S ribosomal RNA". It matches the Rfam family "Bacterial small subunit ribosomal RNA", at positions 524 to 776 of the family's 1533-position model. The record is from RNAcentral.